Molecule: ribosomal RNA, 397 nt
Filed under: uncultured bacterium
Lineage: Bacteria
Description: partial 16S ribosomal RNA
Rfam family: Bacterial small subunit ribosomal RNA
Source: RNAcentral
AUACGUAGGGUGCGAGCGUUGUCCGGAAUGAUUGGGCGUAAAGGGCGCGUAGGCGGCGCGGUAAGUCUGGAGUGAAAGUCCUGCUUUCAAGGUGGGAAUUGCUUUGGAUACUGUCGGGCUUGAGUGCAGGAGAGGUAAGUGGAAUUCCCAGUGUAGCGGUGAAAUGCGUAGAGAUUGGGAGGAACACCAGUGGCGAAGGCGACUUACUGGACUGUAACUGACGCUGAGGCGCGAAAGUGUGGGGAGCAAACAGGAUUAGAUACCCUGGUAGUCCACACUGUAAACGAUGAAUGCUAGGUGUAAGAGGUAUCGACCCCUUUUGUGCCGGAGUCAACACAAUAAGCAUUCCGCCUGGGGAGUACGGCCGCAAGGUUGAAACUCAAAUGAAUUGACGGGG